AGUCUCAUAUGAGCGAGAUCAGAUUGCAAAGAGCAAGCCGCUUAUCCCGAGUUUCAGCGGAUAAUUUUGUUGCCUGAUGGGGAAAAAGUUUCAGUUGUGUCGCGAGACUUUUUCAAACUACCCCCCAAGACGGUCGACAGCUGACUGAAAAGUAACAAUAGCGGCGAGCAUCCUUUCAACUUUGGCGAUAUAAUGCUCACAGGCUUUUGUGCUCGUGUGCGUGCACGUGCUCAUGAUCGUCCAGAUAAAUGAACAUUGUUGUUAUUUCAACGUUCUUGUACUAACAAGACGCAAGCAGACAGGCAUAAAUCGGCCGAUCGCGGUAUCAAAUUAUGUCCUCCCACUUCUUACAAAGGAGUAAUCGGUCUUAAUUCUAAUAACAGACUUGACCGAUCUUCGAAGAUCUAAAUUUGAUUUUCCUGUUUUUUAUUUCUUUCAGGAAAAUUUUCCGACGUCUUGCCGUUUUCUCGAUGCCGUAAUUUUAUUUGGAAAUUCCGAUGUUCACUUCCAGAUGAAGUACGACAGGGAAUCGCAUCCCCGAAACAUCUGCGUGCCUAUGCCGCAAUAAUGGUCCUUCCUGAGUUUGUCAUUUAGCGUUAUCCGAUUAUUCCAUGACAUUUUUGUAUUGACGUGGAAGAAAACCAACAAGCGUCACGUAAAAGUAAAGUUACGUUGACUGUAAAACGAUAGGAAAACAUUCGAUAAGCGCGACUUAUCUUUCCUGAAUAUCUGCUCUCUCACGUGAGAGAUAUCUCGUUUAACAUAAACGAGUACAUAAAAGUGACGGUUCUUCCCUUUUUUCUGACUAAUCGAAUGCACAUACUUAUGAUACGAUCCGACGUUAGAUGACUUUAAACACACCGUGCGCAAUGCGAUGAAGGGUAAGAAAAGAAGGGAGACAUAUUCACAUACAAUUUUCUUUACGGGAAGAAAAAUUAAAUAUCGGAUGAUGAUAUCGUGGGGGUUGUUUCUAAUUUUAUCCCAAUCGCAGAUAAUUCUAUCCCGAGCGAAUUCCUAUUCGAAUAAAUAUGAAUCACGCUUUCACAGUCGCGUGAAAGCAUUUUUAAUCGGUAGUUUCGCGUUGUCUAUGCAUGAAAAAUGAUUAAAAAAAA
This 1112-nucleotide long non-coding RNA is filed under the name Pogonomyrmex barbatus (red harvester ant). RNAcentral's name for it is "uncharacterized LOC112552988, transcript variant X1". Lineage: Eukaryota; Metazoa; Arthropoda; Insecta; Hymenoptera; Formicidae. The record is from RNAcentral.